Molecule: ribosomal RNA, 515 nt
Filed under: uncultured bacterium
Lineage: Bacteria
Description: bacterial SSU rRNA
Rfam family: Bacterial small subunit ribosomal RNA
Source: RNAcentral
AAUUCGAUUGAGUUUGAUCCUGGCUCAGGACGAACGCUGGCGGCGUGCCUAAUGCAUGCAAGUCGCACGCAGCACCUUCGGGUGCUGAGUGGCGCACGGCUGAGUAACACGUGCGGACCGGCCCACUUGUGGGGGAUAACGGUGCGAAAGCGCUGCUAAUCCCGCAUACGCUCUGCGGAGGAAAGCGUGGCAACACGCGCAAGUGGACGGGCGUGCGGCCCAUCAGGUUGUUGGUGUGGUAACGGCGCACCAAGCCGGUGACGGGUCGCUGGUCUGUGAGGACGACUAGCCAGACUGGGACUGAGAACGGCCCAGACUCCUACGGGAGGCAGCAGCAAGGAAUUUUCCCCAAUGGGCGCAAGCCUGAGGGAGCAACGCCGCGUGCGGGAUGACGGCCUUCGGGUUGUAAACCGCUUUUCGGUGGGAUGAUACUGACAGUACCACCGGAAUAAGCCCCGGCUAACUCUGUGCCAGCAGCCGCGGUAAGACAGAGGGGGCAAGCGUUGUCCGGAUUU